GGGAGUUUAGCUCAGCNAUCUGCCUUACAAGCAGAGGGUCAGCGGUUCGAUCCCGUUAACUCCCA
Molecule: transfer RNA, 65 nt
Filed under: Streptococcus pyogenes
Lineage: Bacteria; Bacillati; Bacillota; Bacilli; Lactobacillales; Streptococcaceae
Description: tRNA-Ser
Rfam family: tRNA
About the family: Transfer RNA (tRNA) molecules are approximately 80 nucleotides in length. Their secondary structure includes four short double-helical elements and three loops (D, anti-codon, and T loops).
Source: RNAcentral